Molecule: ribosomal RNA, 176 nt
Filed under: Benthosema pterotum (skinnycheek lanternfish)
Lineage: Eukaryota; Metazoa; Chordata; Actinopteri; Myctophiformes; Myctophidae
Description: partial 12S ribosomal RNA
Source: RNAcentral
CACCGCGGCCAUACGAGUGUGCCCAAGCGGACAGUCUGUCGGCGUAAAGCGUGGUUAGGGAUAAAUUAUUAACUACUAAAGCUAAACCCCAUCAAGGCCGUAAUACGCACCCGAUGAUGUGAGACCCAACCACGAAGGUGGCUUUAAACAAACCCGAACCCACGAGAGCCGAGAAA